GGUUACACGGCCAACCGCACGGCUAUUUGGAUUACACGGCCUGACAGACGCCCAUGUACCUGGCUAUGUGGCAUCGACAGCCACUAAUUUUGGCGACUGAAACUUGCAAAAAUUAAGGUUUCUAGUACGCACCUGGUUUCGCUUUGACGGAAAAAUAAUACGGGGACUACCCGAAACCUAAUUAACCAUCCAAUAAUCAGUUACACCAUUGUUUUCAAUAUUUUACUAAAAUCAACCUACUGUUAAGAUCAUGUCGAAAGUUUCAAC
RNAcentral lists this long non-coding RNA (267 nucleotides) under Gossypium barbadense (sea-island cotton). RNAcentral describes it as "long non-coding RNA (GBAR_LNC019100)". The record is from RNAcentral. Lineage: Eukaryota; Viridiplantae; Streptophyta; Magnoliopsida; Malvales; Malvaceae.